UCCUCACAGGUGACUUUUGAGGCCUGAAGUCAAGCUUUUGUACUGAUUCUCGAGAAAGAGCAAGAUUUUUAGCCCCUACUCACAAGUUUUCUGUUGAGCAUUCCCUUCAGUUCUCUGGCUUUCAAGCUUCAGCUAUUGAAUUUCUAUGCUUGUAUCAGUUGGGCUGCCUCACUCUAUCAGUUCAAGUUACCUUGGGACAAAAGUCAAGAUGAAGCAUUUUUCAGAUGGAAGGUUCAUCAUUCCUAUCCACUUACUGGAAAUAUAGGUGAUCUACUUCUACUUCAAGUAUAAAUAUCCUGGCUUCAGUGGGAAGAUCUCUAUUGAUUCAUUAUCAAGCAAACUGUUCUCCAAGAAAUCAUUGCCAGUUGCUGGUGGGCAGUACAGAUUCAAGGUGAAGGUUACCACAGAGUAUCACCCCUAACUAACAAGGUGCAGAUACCACCACGGGAUGCUGACUGCCACUGAAAAGGGAUGUCUGCAUGGAAAAACUCUCGUCUUAGCUCAAUCAGAACUCCAAUCCUCGAUCCUCCAAAUGACAGAAUAAUUGGAAGCAGAUGAUCCUCUUUCUUCAUGUCAGAAGGCCUAACCUGACGUCACAAAGCCCACAUCAUCCACCUCACUUCCUCUCUUCACGUGGACGUUUGCAUCAGUAUGAGAAGGAUAAGGAACGAAGCACGGAGCCUAGAACCCCUGUUCCUCUUCAUCGCUGGGCUUAGGUCCCAGCAAGGCAGUCAGGCAAAGCAAACAAGCAUGAACAUUCGGCACAAGGAUCCGAGCAGGGAGAAAUGAAACUUCUUAUUUGCAGAAUCCAAAAGAAUCCACAACAUGUGACUAACGUGAAUUAUUAACAAGUUUGCUCAGCACAAUUUAUCUGAUAUACCACUAACAAAAAAGAAAUAACAUUGUAAAACAGAAACCUUCAAACCUAGCAUCAAAAUUAUUAAAUAUCCAGGAAUGAUUCUAACAGAGGAUCAUAUCUAUGUAGAAAACUAUAAAGCUUUUGAUAAUGAAAAUUAAAGAACUAAAUAAAUAAAGUUAUAUUACAUGUUAGUUGAUUAAAAACAAUAUUGUAACGACACCAAUUCUUCUCAAACUGAUCUUCGGAGGACUCAGCAUGUAUUUGGUGACACUUUACAAGAUACUUCAAGAGUUUAAUAGAGAAGAGCUGGCGAUAUUGUUUGGAGGACUUUCACUCUGUUCUUUUUCCUACAAUCUUAUUGACUGACUCUGCGUGAUGGGGGCAAUUUAAUUCUGUGAGUUUUCCUUAAGCUUCAGAUUUUUUCAUUGUCAUCCAGAACAGACUACAUGCUUUGGACAGGAAGACUGCACUGCUCCCAAGAAGCCAUUUCCAAAUUACUCCUAAUAAGCUAAGGAGUACACAUCUACCCUUUGGCUAUAUCUGUCUCUCUCCAACUUGAAGGAGAUUGGUUUGAUUUUCCUGGGUUUAGUGGACUCACUUUUCCCCAGCUGUGUCUGUGAAGCAUAAAGAGCAUUCUCACCAAACUACAAAAAUAAAUUUCUACAGAUAUUUGGA
Molecule: long non-coding RNA, 1534 nt
Organism: Manis javanica (Malayan pangolin)
Lineage: Eukaryota; Metazoa; Chordata; Mammalia; Pholidota; Manidae
Source: RefSeq, a predicted model, not a curated record